UCACUGUGCUAGUGGAGUUUGAAGUUGGU
Molecule: small RNA, 29 nt
Filed under: Bombyx mori (domestic silkworm)
Lineage: Eukaryota; Metazoa; Arthropoda; Insecta; Lepidoptera; Bombycidae
Description: ovarian small RNA-25469
Source: RNAcentral